CCUCUUAUAGCAUUGUUAGUUGCAGGUGAAGUUGAAGUUUGCUCCAUGUUGGAUCAUGUUUAUGUUGGAAUAUCACCUCGUUUCCUGAUGAUCAGUAGUGGAGCCCAGUUGGGACGACCGGGGAUCUAGCAUUUGGGGUUGUCUUCUUUUAUUUUGGUUCCGUAGUCGGACCUUGAUUGUACUCUGGAUGAUGUAUGUUUAACUUGUUAUUUGUGUGAAGUGCCGAUUGUAUGCCAACUCUUUAUCCCUCUCUUAUUUAGUACAUGGUAUUGUGUGAAGAUUACCCCUCUUGCGACAAAACCACCAUGCGGUUAUGCCUCUAAGUCGUGCCUCGGCACGUGGGAGAUAUAGCCGCAUCGUGGGCGUUACAAGUUGGCAAUCAGAUCCAUCCCCGACUUAGGAGCCCCCUGCUUGAUCGAAUCGCUGACGUUGUUGAGUCUAGAACAAAAAUGUUUUGAGUCUUAGGAUUAUAUAUAUCGGAGAGUAGGAUUCUUUUUACUCCUUAGUCCCUUCGCCGCUCUGGUGAGGCCUCCUGACGUAGAUGUUUUGAUUUCCUCUCCUCAAAUUUCACUAAUUUUUUUAGGAUCAUGCGGGUAUUUUCAAAUCAUUCUGAUAUUCUUGUGAUGAGAACAUUGUUCUUAGUGCCUCCUGACUUUUAGGGGUUGUGGCAGUGUCCCGGGGAGUUGAGCUUCGAGGUGUUGUCAUCACAAUUUUAUCGUUGUAGUUCUGGAAUACCUGAGUUUGCCGACAUCGAAAAUCUCUUUUAUGCAGUUGUUGGUGAGAUAACCUCGACGCCACCCAGUACUGGGGUGGGAGUACGGGAGUAUUGCCAUAAUUUGUAUAACGAAUGCUUUUUGAAGGUUGAGAUACACGAUUUCCCGAAUUUUCUUGGUUAUGUGUUGACGGAUGGAUACAGCUGGAUGUAGGGAUUGUUUAGUUUGGGUGAGAUAUAUUGCUUCCCCUGUAUCCCCAACACCAGGUUGCAUAACUAGAAAGUUUCGGGAGUUUACAAGUGGGAAUGCAAGUAGCUCCUAGGAUAUCAUUCCAACAGAUCCAUGAUAUGAGAUUGGGGUUCGACGUCUAGUGGUCUGCCUGUCCACGGUUGGUUUUACAGUGGUCUUGUUGUGUCUUAAAGAGUCCUUGGCUAUGCUGACUCGGGGACGCUUCGUAUGACAUGUGCACUGCCUUGUACAUGAUGGUGAUGUACGAUCGAGCCCAUGCGGGCCCCACCUGGAAAAUUUCGGACAAAAUCUCUAUCAUAUGUUUGUUUCCGGCUUAUCCUAUAAGUCAAAUCCUUUGUUUUGUUUUGGUUUGUGGUAUUCGAGUUGCUUCGAAGUCAAGUGUUGAUUCCAUACCUUUCCUAAGCGAUGUUCUCAUAUUUUUAUGUGAAUACUAAUCCUUCUUGAUCAUUGAGAUUGUCAUGUUAAUUAUUUUCUAACCGGCGUGCUCCUCUUCAAGUGGAUCCGAUCAUUUUCAACAUCCGCAAGAUCAAUUCUAAGUUCACUCAACGGUGUUUGUUUCAUACGUCCCAGGUUGCCUUUGUUUUCCCGCCCUCCCACCCUUUUCUUUAAGGAUUCAGAUUUCUUGAUCAUGUGUCCUUUUAUUUGUGAGAAGUCUUUUCAGUCUUUUCUUUCAAUGUUUUACCUGGUGUUUCUUUUGAAGAUGCUAAGGGAGCUUCAACUUCAUCAUUCUUCGUUUUAUUUCUUCUCCGGUGGAUUCAGUUCAAGCUUUGUCGAUCAUAUCUUUUCCUUGUUUCAAAUGUUUUCUCAUGCCGGUGCACCUAUUAAUCAUCCACUUCUCGCCAUUCAUUGUUCUGGAGUUCUGAAGAUAUCUCAGGAGAUUCGUGUUUUAAUUCCUAAGCCGCUCAAGCUGUCUCAAGGUUGUUAUCUCUUUCAGCCAUUUAAUUCAACCGGCGAAGUCUCUCUUCUAAAUCGUUCAAUGGUGUAUCUUUGGAGUGAGCCUUAACCCACAGGACUUUUCCCACGAUCUUACCCGACUCUUCUAUUUUUCCAGAGUUAUUUCUCAAAUCUUUUUAAAGUUUGAUGUAAGAAUGAAGUAUCAUCAGUCAUAUUCCUUCUCCAAGAUCGCUUUCAAAACAUUGCCAUUGUUGGUUCAUCAUUUAUAUUCUCCAUUGUUCCGGGGUGGCUCAUCUUUUUCCAUAGUGUUUCUCGUCGCCAUUCUAGGAUUUUGAAGACCGAGGAAGAGUUUUUCCUCCAAAUCUUGGUCCGUUCUCUCGAAGAUGCGUAGUUCAAGCUUGAUGCCAUCCUCUCAUAAUUGUUUUGAUUGUGAGAAUUCUUUUCACCCAUGUAGAGCAAUCAGGAGUCUUUUCAGUUUGAUUCUUCGGAGCCCAUCAUCUUAGAAUUAUUCAUUCCAGCUUUCAGCUCUCGUUCUCCACAUCUUACCGGUGCAUCAUUCAAGUAUUCUCUAAUCAGCUUGGUAUCUCUUCGUUCACUUGUAUUUAAAUUCUCUCAAGCAUCUUUGUUCAUUUGCUAAUUCUUCCGGGUGUCUCGCUAUCUUUUCUUUGAUCAUUUUUAAUUCUUACGGUGGUUCGUCCAACAUUCCUCUUCCGUCGUUAUCGUAUCAAUGCAUUCAUGAUUUCCAAAUCCUACCGGUGGAUCAUUGAAGACCUUCUCAAGUUUACGCUAUGUCUCUCUUAAUCCUUUCUAUGAGAAUAAGUGGCAUGCCAAUUCUGUUGCUUGUUAUCAAUUGAAGUUGAUGAACGGUAAGCAUGACAUGAUUCUUAUCAUCGAGGUGAUUUAAUUCCUAUCAUUGGUGUUUCAUCCUUUUCUUUCCAGAGUCUCAAGCUAUCAAUUAUAUCAUCACGAAGAUCCAUCUAAAUCAUUGCAAGGAUUCACCUUGUGUUUUCAACUUAUCUUUCUUUCUAUCAUCCUUUAUUACCGGAGUUCUUCAUGGAGGCUCUGUAUGGUGACUCAUCAAGGAUUCCUUUCAUUCUUCAUUCGUUCUUCAACAUUUCUCUUGAAGUUAUGAUCCGUCAAGCUAUACUCAGAAUUAAACAGGGUGAUCAACAAACGUUUUGUUUCGAGGAGUUCAAGUAUUCUUCAUCUUGCAUUCUGAAAUGCAAUUCGUUAUACUUUAUCUUUCGAGGUGGUGUUAUGUUACUCUUGACAAAUUCCCUUUGUGUGUCAUGAUUCAACAGUUGUCAAGAAUGAGAUAGUUAAACCCAUCAAUUUCUUCGAGCAUUAGCUCUUCUCAAUCCAUCAAUCUCUUCGUUGGAGUUAUCUUGGGUUAUAUUUCACCUAAAGCCUUCCCUAAGGAAUUUUGCUAUUGUGGUGCUUAUCAAUAUUCCAAGUUUCCUCCUAUUCUCGCAAUAAAGAAAUUUUCAUCUCUUCGUUGCUCUCAAGCAAGCAAUUGAUUCCGUUAGUGGCAGAAUUUCACCUUAAGUUUUGGGAUGUUUUCCAUAAGUCCACAACAAGUUUAUUCUUUUCAUUGUUCAUUUCCCAACAACUCUGUCCAAUCCUCUAUGGAAGGAUACUUUCAAAUUCAUUCGAGGUACAAGAUGUUGUUUUCUUCUUUGAUACUUUCAGUCUGUUCUAUCUUUUGUUCCGGAGGCAUUGUGAUGUUGCACUCUUUGACACAUCAUUCCAUUUUUGUCAAAGAUCAUGUUUUUUCCCUUUGCUGCUCCAAUCAACCGGAGUGUGUGUCCUCCAUUCAAGUUCUCUCAUCUUAUCAAGUUUUGCCUCCCUUCUCAACUGGAGUGUUGUCUAAAAUCUUUCUUACUCCUUGUGCCAUUCUUUCAAUAGUUCCGGAGGCAGUGUGUUGUUGAUUUCAUCAAGUAUCCUCUCAUCUUGUAAAGUUCAUGUUCAAUCCCUUCCAUUUACAGUCGAAGUGUUGUCCAAAUUAUAUCAUUAUUAUUCCUUCCCUAUAUUCUUUUAACCAGAGUGUUGUGUCUAGCAUUCCUCUUUUAAUCGAAGUCUCAUCCAAGUGCUUUCAUUUUGCCAAGUUCAUAUUCUAUGCCUUCCAUUUUCAACCCGAGUGGUUUUAAAUUCUUUCUUUCCUCUUGAGCUCUUGUUUCACGUGUUUGCAACCUACAAGGUUCUCAUAAUGUUCCUUGUUCCUCUCGUCCAAUGUACUGUUUGCAAUCUUAUUCAUCCUUAAUGGUUUUCUUUCUUUCAAUUUGCUCAACCUCUCAAGGUUCGUGGUUUCACUCUUUUGUCAAGAAGCAACUUAGUUUUACCUCUUCCUCUUCCGCUUCUCUCCGGUGCCAUCCUAAGAUCUCGGGACGAGAUCUCUUGUAAGUGGAGGAGUGUUGUGACGCCCCGAGACCGACGCUCUAGACGCCUUCCAUGUUUUGCGUGACCACCAUGUUUUUUAUUAGUUUGUUGCAUUCAUCAUCGCAUCAUCUGCAUUGCAUCGGCACUCCAUUGCCGUCAUUGUUUUCGAACUUGCAUCCCCUCAUAGUUGCCGCGUCCCCCCUUGCUUUAGUUGACCGUUCUGAGACCAACCUUGUUCUUCCUUUUCCCUCUUGCCUAAACCGGAGUCUCUUUGCACAGUGCAUCGUCCCCUCACCCGUGUCCGAAACUUCCCCGAACCCGAACCAUACUAUCAUUACCGUUGGGUCCGGAUCAUCCCCAAACAUCCCUAAAUCAUCAUGGUUUCUCGUUGGACUCUCCUAAGCUAAUUAUUCUCGACUGUCCAUUAAAAUCGGAGGGACCAAAUGCCCCUAAACUUAGCCGGCUUGCUAUAUAUAGAUCAACCACUAGCCUAUUUUGCACAAACCCUAAAAUCUAGGGACAUUGUCCCAUCCACUCAUCGCCGCCGCCACAUCUCCUACCUCAGGAUCCAUCCCCAUCCAAUCAGUGUGCGCACCACCGAUCCAAAAAUCCUCUUGAUCUAUUCCCACCAACUAGUGCCUCCCUUUAUCCCCUCGUCCACCUCCUGCAGCCCCGAAUGCCUGAGGCCCCAACAGCCCGAGCACCGGCCGGCCACCGAAGCUCAUCUGCGUGCUCCUUCCUCGCUCGAUGUCGCCGGCGACCAGCUACUCCGCCUCCGGCAUUGUCCCACUCAUCCCGGACUCCUAUACACCCAGAGCUCUCCUAGCCGUUAGCCUCCUCCUCAUCCGAGUGGAGCCCCGUCCUCCUGAGCUCUCCCGCAGGCUAGCCCCGCACCACCCCAUCUCUACUUCCUCCCUCCCGUGGCUCUCUUUUUUAUGUAAUAUCUCCGUCUCUUGUUCUACAACCAUCGCCGUGGGAGCCAAGCUCCAAGCUCCGCCAUCGGUGUAUCCCACCUCCAUCCCGGCGCUGGGAACGGAAGCCCCGCACCUGGAUCUCGCCGCAGUGUCACCCGACCUUGCCGUCUGUUGGCCUCCCGCAGCCCUCUGCCGUGCAUGCUGCCGCUACAAGCUUCUGCCGUCGGCCUCUGUUUGGUCUGCACGAGCAGAUGAGCUUGUCCAUCCCGAACGUCGUGGUCAUCCCCUGCAUCAAGCCCCACCACCUCCUGCUAUUUUCCUUCCUCGCCGUCGCCGCGCCAAGUCCCGCUGCCUCCCCGCCAUUGACCUUCAGUGCCGCCGGUCUGCCACUGUCAAGCAGAGAAUGAGCAGCAGCGGCUAGCCCGCUCGUCUGCGUUGACCGUGCCUGGCCAACUGCGUGGGCUGUAGCCCCACCAGCCUACCUCUCCACCGACCAGGUCAAGCCCAAUGUGAGCAUCCGCCCAGCCCCGUUGACUGUGCACUAUUGGGCCAACUACUUUCGGGCCAACUUCUGUUUUUUUAACGGACGAAUUUAGCUUUUAUCCAGUGUUUUACGGUUUUGUAGAAAACCCCUCCAUCUUCAUGCAUAUAAUAACUUAAUAACCAUGCAUAUUUUGUAAAAACAUUUUAUAUGUAACUUGCUUAGAAUUUUGCCUAGUUUCAUAAUAUGCCACUUUCAUCCUUGUUAAAAAUGUUUAAAAUGUUGUUUGUUUAAUUUUGCACAAAUGGAAUGCUAAAAUGGUUUAUUACAUAACUAAAUAAUCGUAGCUCCAAAUGAAAUGUUUUAUAUAUGUAACUUGCUUCAAAAAAAAUGCAUAGAUUAACAUGGUGGCAUUACUUUGCAUGUUUAACAACUCUAAAAUAUGAUUUAGGGCAGAACAGUACCAAAUCCAUAAAUUGCAUAUGAGGUUUUUCCGGAAUUGUUGUUUGUUAUUUCCAGCCUCAUUUAAACUUGCCUAAAUAGUUAGUUUACUUUUGCCUCACCUCUUUCCAUGUUAACCAACAUUUAAUUUUGUUGAGUACCUAAACGUGAGUGAACUAAAUAACCGAAUGUGGUGUUUCGUUGCAUAUUGAGCUCCACUUAAUUUGUAGUGUUGUUUGUUGCACUUUGCCAUGCCAUGCAUCAUUAAACCAGACAUGCAUCAUACUUGUUUGUGCAUCAUGCCAUGAUUAAUCUUGUGUCUUUAUCAUGUUGCUUGUUUCUUUCUGGUUUGCUUCUCUUGUUAGCUUCAGUUUCGUUCUGGAGUUGUGAAGAUCCGUUCGACUACGUCUGUUUGUCUUCUUCAUGGACUCGUUCUUUUCCUUGCGGGGUCUCAGGCAAGAUGACCAUACCUUCGAUAUCACUUCUAUCUUUGCUUGCUAGUAGUUCGCUCUAUCGCUAUGCCGCGCUACCUACCACUUGUUUAUCAUGCCUCCCAUAUUGCCAUGUCAAGCCUCUAGCCCACCUUCCUAGCAAACCGUUGUUUGGCUAUGUUACCGGUUUUGCUCAUCCCCUCUUAUAGCGUUGUUAGUUGCAGGUGAAGUUGAAGUUUGAUCCAUGUUGGAUCAUGUUUAUGUUGGGAUAUCACAAUAUCUCUUAUUUUAAUUAAUGCAUCUAUAUACUUGGUAAAGGGUGGAAGGCUCGGCCUUAUGCCUGGUGUUUUGUUCCACUCUUGCCGCCUUAGUUUCCGUCAUACAGGUGUUAUGUUCCUUGAUUUUGUAUUCCUUACGUGGUUGGGGUUAUGGGACCCCCUUGACAGUUUGCUUUGAAUAAAACUCCUCCAGCAAGGCCCAACGUUGGUUUUAACAUUUUCCACCUAAGCCUUUUCCCUUGGGUUCUGCAGACUCAAGGGUCAUCUUUAUUUUAACCCCCCCCUCCCCAGGCCAGUGCUCCUUUGAGUGUUGGUCCAAACUAGAGCCCUUUGCAACACCACCUCGGGGAAAUUUGAGGGCUGGUUUUAGUUGUACGGAUUGCUCAUCUGGUGUGCCCUGAGAACGAGAUAUGUGCAUCUCCUAUCAGGAUUUGUCGGCACAUUCGGGCGGUCUUACUAGUCUUGUUUUACCAUUGCCAAAAUGUCCUGUAACCGGGAUUCCGAGACUGAUUGGGUCUUUUCGGGAGAAGGAAUAUCCUUCAUUGAUCAUGAGAGCUUGUAAUGGGCUAAGUUGGGCACCCCUGCAGGGCAUAAACUUUCGAGAGUCGUGCCCGUGGUUAUGUGGCAGAUGGGAAUUUGUUAAUAUCCGGUUGUAGAGAACUUGACACUUGACUUAAUUAAAAUGCAUCAACCGCGUGUGUAGCCGUGAUGGUAUCUUUUUGGCGGAGUCCGGGAAGUGAACAUGGUUUGGGUUAUGUUUGAACAAGUAGUUCAGGAUCACUUCUGGAUCACUUCUAGCUUACGACUGUUGCAUAGCUUCUCAUCUUACUCUUAUUUGCAUAUGUUAGCCACCAUAUUUGCUUAGCGCUUGCUGCAGCUCCACCUCAUUACCUUAUCCUACCCAUAAGUUUAAAUAGUCUUGACCUCGCGGGUGUGAGAUUGUUGAGUCCUCGUGACUCACGGAUACUUCCAAACAGUUGCAGGUGCCGAUGAUACCAGUGCACGUGAUGCAACCGAGCUCAAGUGGAGUUCGAUGAGGACCUUGGUCGUUACCAUGUUUCGUUUCCUGAUGAUCAGUAGUGGAGCCCAGUUGGGACAAUCGGGGAUCUAGCAUUUGGGGUUGUCUUCUUUUAUUUUGGUUCCGUAGUCGGAUCUUGAUUAUACUCUGGAUGAUGUAUGUUUAACUUGUUAUUUGUGUGAAGUGGAGAUUGUAAGCCAACUCUUUAUCCCUCUCUUAUUCAGUACAUGGAAUUGUGUGAAUAUUACCCCUCUUGCGACAAAACCACCAUGCGGUCAUGCCUCUAAGUCGUGCCUCGACACGUGCGAGAUAUAGCCGCAUCGUGGGCGUUACAAGUUGGUAAUCAGAGCCAUCCCCGACUUAGGAGCCCCCUGCUUGAUCGAAUCACUGACGUUGUUGAGUCUAGAACAAAAAUGUUUUGAGUCUUAGGAUUAUAUAUAUCGGAGAGUAGGAUUAUUUUUACUCCCCAGUCCCUUUGUCGCUCUGGCGAGGCCUCCUGACGUAGAUGUUUUGACUUUCCUCUCCUCAAAUUUCACUAAAAAAUUUCAGGAUCACGCGGGUAUUUUCGAAUCAUUCCGAUAUUCUUGUGACGAGAACAUUGUUCUUGGUGCCUCUUGACAUUUAGGGGUUGUGGCAGUGUCCUGGGGAGUUGAGCUCCGAGGUGUUGUCGGCACAAUUUUAUCGUUGCAGUUCUGGAAUACCUGAGUUUGCCGACAUCGAAAAUCUCUUUUAUGCAGUCGUUGGCGAGCUAACCUCGACGCCACCCAGUACUGGGGUGGUAGUUCGGGAGUACUGCCAUAACUUGUAUAAUGGAUGCUUUUCGAAGGUUGAGGUACACGAUUUCCGAAGUUUUCUUGGUUAUGUGUUGACGGAUGGAUACAGCUGGAUGUAGGGAUUGUUUAGUUUGGGUGAGAUAUAUUGCUUCCCCUGUAUCCCCAACACCAGAUUGCAUAACCAGAAAGUUUCGGGAGUUUAUAAGUGGGAAUUCAAGUAGCUCCUAGGAUAUCUUUCUGACAGAUGCAUGAUAUGAGAUUGGGGUUCGACGUCUAGUGGUCCGCCUGUCCACAGUUGGUUUUACAGUGGUCUCGUUGUGUCCUAAAGUGUUCUUGGCUAUGCUGACUAGGGGACGCUUGAUACUUCUCCGUCGUAUCUACUUUUCCAAACACUUUUGCCCUGGUUUUGGUCUCUAACUUGCAUGAUUUGAAUGGAACUAACCCGAACUGACGUUGUUUUCAAUAGAACUGCCAUGGUGUUAUUUUUGUGCAGAAAUAAAAUUUCUCGGAAUGACCUGAAAAUCAACCAAGAAUUAUUUUGGAAUAUAUCAAAAAAUAUUGGAAGAAGAGUCCACGUUAGGGGGCCCUCCACCUGUCCACGAGGGUGGGGGCGCGCCCUACCCCCCUGGGCGCGCCCCUGCCUCGUGGGCCCCCUGACGCUCCACAGACCUCAACUCCAACUCUAUAUAUUCGCGUUUGGGGAGAAAAAAAUUAGAGAGAAGGAUUCAUCGCGUUUUACGAUACGGAGCCACCGCCAAGCCCUAAACUCUCUUGGGAGGGCUGAUCUGGAGUCCGUUCGGGGCUCCGGAGAGGGGAAUCCAUCGCCAUCGUCAUCAUCAACCUUCCUCCAUGACCAAUUUCAUGAUGCUCACUGCUGUGUGUGAGUAAUUCCAUCAUAGGCUUGCUGGACGGUGAUGGGUUGGAUGAGAUUUAUCAUGUAAUCGAGUUAGUUUUGUUAGGGUUUGAUCCCUAGUAUCCACUAUGUUCUGAGAUUGAUAUUGCUAUGACUUUGCUAUUCUUAAUGCUUGUCACUAGGGCGUGAGUGCCAUGAUUUCAGAUCUGAACCUAUUAUCUUUUCAUCAAUAUAUGAGAGUUCUUGAUCCUAUCUUGCAAGUCUAUAGUCACCUAUUAUGUGUUAUGAUCCAUUAACCCCGAAGUGACAAUAAUUGGGAUACUUACCAAUGAAGACCGUAAUUUGAGGAGUUCAUGUAUUCACUAUGUGUUAAUGCUUUGAUCCGGUACUCUAUUAAAAGGAGGCCUUAAUAUCCCCUGCCACGAGAGGACCCCGCUGCCACGAGAGGGUAGGACAAAAGAUGUUAUGCAAGUUCUUUUCCAUAAGCACGUAUGACUAUAUUCGGAAUACAUGCCUACAUUACAUUGAUGAACUGGAACUAGUUUUGUGUCACCCUAGGUUAUGACUGUUACAUGAUCGAUCACAUGUGGCAUAAUUCUCCAUCACCGAUCCAAUGCCUACGAGCUUUUCAUAUAUUGUUCUUCACCCAUUUACUUUUUCGUUGCUACUGUUACCAUCACAAUAAAACCCAAAAAUAUUACUUUUGCUACCGUUACUUUUGCCAUCGUUACCACUACUAUCAUAUUACUUUGCUACUAAAUACCUUGCUGCAGAUAUUAAGUUUCCAGGUGUGGUUGAAUUGACAACUCAACUACUAAUACUUGAGAACAUUCUUUGGCUCCCUUUGUGUCGAAUCAAUAAAUUUGGGUUGAUUACUCUACCCUCGAAAACUGUUGCGAUCCCCUAUACUUGUGGGUUAUCAAGACUAUUUUCUGGUGCCGUUGCCAGGGAGAAUAGCUCUAUUCUUUGAGUCACUUGGGAUUUAUAUCUGCUUAUCAUUAUGAAGAACUUGAAAGAUCAAAGAACCAAGAUUUUUCCCUCAACUACGAGGGGAGGUAAGGAACUGCCAUCUAGCUCUGCACUUGAUUCACCUUCUGUUUUGAGUAAACUUGCGACACCUAAACCUGCUUCUGCUAUUAAUUCUGAUAUGUCACAUGUUAUUGAUGAUGCCACUUCUACUAUGCAUGAUACUUAUGAUGAAACUACUUCUAUGCUUGAUACUACUAUGCCACUUGGUGAAUUUCUUGAUGAACAACUUGCUAGGGCUAGAGAGAAUGAAAUUAUUGAAACUGGUAAUAUUGAUGAAAGUGAUUAUGAAGAUUCUCCCCCUAGAUAUGAAUUACAUGUUGUUCCUGAGGGUUAUGUUAUGGAUGAAGAAACUGCUAGAGACUUUCUUGCUUGCAAUGAUAGGAGUGAUCUUAAGAAACUAUUAGCUAAGCUGAAACAAAAAUCUCUGAAUGCUAGAAUGAAAUAUGAUCCUGCUUAUGCUACUUCACCUAUCUUUGUUACUGAUAACGAUUAUGAAUUCUCUGUUGACCCUGAUAUAAUUACUUUGGUUGAAUCUGAUCCUUUCUAUGGCUAUGAAUCUGAAACUGUUGUGGCACAUCUUACUAAAUUAAAUGAUAUAGCCACCCUGUUCACUAAUGAUGAGAAAACUUGCUACUAUUAUAUCCUUAAAUUAUUUCCGUUCUCAUUAAAGGGUGAUGCUAAGAUAUGGUUUAAUUCUCUUGAUCCUGGUUGUGUGCGUAGUCCCCAGGGUAUGAUUUAGUACUUCUCUGCUAAAUAUUUCCCCACUCAUAAGAAACAAGCCGCUUUAAGGGAAAUAUAUAAUUUUGUGCAAAUUGAAGAAGAGAGUCUCCCACAAGCUUGGGGGAGGCUUCUCCGAUUACUUAAUGCUUUGCCUGAUCAUCCUCUCAAGAAAAAUGAAAUACUUGAUAUCUUUCAUAAUGGACUAACCGAUGCUUCCAGAGAUUACCUGGAUAGUUGUGCUGGUUGUGUUUUCAGGGAAAGAACUGUUGAUCAAGCUAAAAUUCUAUUGAAUAAUAUGUUGACUAAUGAAAAUAAUUGGACACUUCCUGAACCAACUCCUAAGCCAACUCUGAAGAAAAGGGGUAUUCUAUUUCUCAGUCCUGAAGAUAUGCAAGAGGCAAAGAAAUCUAUGAAAGAAAAAGGUAUUAAAGCUGAAGAUGUUAAGAGUUUACCUCCUAUUGAAGAAAUACAUGGUCUUAAUUUGCCGCCUGUUGAAGAAAUACAUGGUCUUGAUAACCCUACACAGGUAGUAAAGGUAAAUUCUCUCAAUAGAUUUGAUGAAGGUGAUAUUCCUCAUUAUAAGUCUGCUAGCCAAUGCUUAGAUGAGUUUGAUAAUUUUAUUGUUAAACAAGAGAACUUCAAUGCUUAUGUUGGUAGACAAUUGAAACAUAAUGCUUUUAUGAUUGAACACUUGAGUGAUUAUAUCGCUAAUGUUAAAGGUGAACUUAAACUUAUUAGUAAACAUGCUUCUAUGGUUACCACUCAAGUAGAACAAGUACUUAAAGCUCAGAAUGAUUUGCUCAAUGAAUUAAAUAGUAAGAAGAAUGAUAAUGCUGUUAGAGUUAUGACUAGAGGAGGUAAAAUGACUCAGGAACCUUUGUAUCCUGAGGGCCAUCCGAAGAGAAUUGAGCAAGAUUCUCAGAGAACUAAUGUAGAUGCACCUAGUCCUUCUAAAAGGAAGAAAAAGAAAAAUGAUAGGACUUUGCAUGCUUCUAGUGAACCUGUUAUUGACACACCUGAGAAUCCCAAUGAUAUUUCUAUUUCUGAUGCUGAAACACAAUCUGGUAAUGAAUAUGAACCUAGUGAUAAUGUUAAUGAUGAUGUUCAUGUUGAUGCUCAACCUAGCAAUAAUAAUGAUGUAGAAAUUGAACCUGCUAUUGAUCUUGAUAACCCACAAUCAAAGAAUCAAUGUUAUGAUAAGAGAGACUUUGUUGCUAGGAAGCACGGUAAAGAAAGAGAACCAUGGGUUCAGAAACCCAUGCCUUUUGCUCCUAAACCAUCCAAGAAAAAGGAUGGUGAGGAUUUUGAGCGCUUUGCUGAAAUGAUUAGACCUAUAUUUUUGCGUAUGCGUUUGACUGAUAUGCUUAAAAUGAAUCCUUAUGCUAAAUAUAUGAAGGAAAUUGUUACUAAUAAAAGAAAGAUACAGGAAGCUAAAAUUUCCACCAUGCUUGCUAAUUAGACUUUUAAGGGUGGAAUACCAAAGAAACUUGGAGAUCCAGGAGUACCAACUAUACCAUGCUCCAUUAAAAGAAACUAUGUUAAAACUGCUUUAUGUGAUCUUGGAGCCGGUGUUAGUGUUAUGCCUCUCUCUUUAUAUCGUAGACUUGAUUUGAAUAAGUUGACACCUACCGAAAUAUCUUUGCAAAUGGCUGAUAAAUCAACUGCUAUACUAGUCAGUAUUUGUGAGGAUGUGCCUAUUGUGGUUGCAAACGUUACUAUUUUAACGGACUUUGUUAUUCUUGAUAUUCCCGAGGACGAUAGUAUGUCUAUUAUUCUUGGAAGACCCUUUUUGAAUACUGCAGGGGCUGUUAUUGAUUGCACCAAAGGCAACGUCACUUUUGAUGUUAAUGGUAAUGAUCAUAUGGUACACUUUUCGAGGAAACAACCUCAAGUCCACAGUAUCAAUUCUAUUGGAAAAAUUUCAACAAUCACUAUUGUAGGUUUUGAAUUUCCUCUACCUACUGUCAAGAAGAAAUAUGAUAUUCUUAUUAUUGGGGAUGUGCAUAUCCCCGUCGAGGUAACCUAAUGUUAUUCAAAAGUUCUCCAGUUUCAUGUUAUUCGAAUUGAGUUUGUUAACAAGACCUGAUCGACCUUGUUAGUGGAUUUCUUUUUAUGAGCAUGAGAUGGAUGAAUUUAGAAAACACAACUCUCUAUACCCUCUUUUUACUUUCUGUUAUUUAUAUUAAAUAAAGCAAAAACAAUAUUUUCCGUCUGUUUCCUGAAUUAUUCAUGCAGUAAAAAUACCCCGAAAAUAAAAGUUCUCCAAAUGCCCUGAAAAUUAAAUAUGAUUUUUUUCUGGAAUAUUUGAGAAUAUCUGGCACUAAGAACACAACAUGGGGAGCAAGCACCUGGCCACGAGGGUCCAGGGCGCGUCCACCCCCCUGGGCGUGCCCCUGCCUCGUGGGCCCAUGGUGGCUCCCCUCCACUUAUUCCAGCUACCACACACUCUUUCUUCCUCCCACAAACAUCACUAACAAGCUCAAGCACGAGUUCAAGCUCAUCUUGCUGCCAUUUUCAAUCUCUUAGCUCAAAGCUCCAUCACAAAACUGCUUUGGGGGAUUGUUCUUUGGUAUGUGACUCCUCCAAUGGUCCAAUUAGUUUUUGUUCUAGUGCUUUAUUCAUUGCAUAUUUUUGCUGCUUAGGUGACCCUGUUCUUGAGCUUGCAUGUCAAAUUUAUAUGGUCAAAAGUAGUUUUAAUGCAUGAUAUUGCCUCUAGGCACUUGUAGGAGUAGUUGCUAUCAAUAUUGUUGAGUUUGGUUCACUUUUAUUUUGAAGUUACUAAAAAUUUCAGAUAUUUUCAGAAAAAGAUGAAGAGAUUUUUGAGGGGCUCAUCGAGCCGAAGCUCGAAGGAUAAGAAAAGUGAGGAGGAUAAGAGGCCCAAAUAUAAUCUCCCUCGAACCGAAAAAGUUCGGCCGUGUGAAUGGCCUUGUGAUAAUUUCUUGAGAGCAGCCGUGAUUUAUGAUGAUUUUUAUGAGUUGGCUGAGAAUGCAGGCCUCACCGCCUUCCUCCACGACCAAUGCGAAUAGUAUCUCUUACUCACCAAUACCUUUGUGAAAAACUUUCAUUUCCAUGCUAGGAGCUCACCACCUUCGGUGGAAUUUUAUUUAUAUGAUGAGCAUAACGAGAUGUCACUUCGUGACUUUUGUUGGAUUUGUUUGAUCCCUUUUGAGGGCAGUGUAGAGAAACCACAUCGUGAUGAUGUGGAAGGGUUUAUUGAUACAAUGGCUGUAGGGGAAACGAGGAAAGUUUCCGAUGCAAGAAUUACUAGCAUACAUUUUUCUAUUUUACAUUACUUUGCAAUAUUUGCUAGUAGAUGCUUAAUUGCUCGUGGAAACUAUGGCAACCUUAGUGCCCCUGACAUUGUUAUUUUGUGCCAUGCCUUGUUCCAUGAUGACACAUUUAGUAUGGGCGCUAUUGUUGCAAAGCGAUUAAAUCUUAACCGUACUAAGGGCCCCAUCUUGGGAGGUUUCUUUGCCUCAUGCCUCGCUGCACAUUUUAAUAUACCUAUUAGGCAUUAUGAGAAGGAAGAGAAGUUGAUGCCUCCUGUUUUUCUAGACUAUAAGAGUAUGGUAGCACAUGAUUUUAUUGUUAAGAAUAAGGAACAGAUGCUUAAGUACAAGCUAAUAUUUGAUAAGAAUCACCCUGAGACUAUUACUUUGCCUGCUCCUUCCGUGUUUGACUUAUCUGCAGGCAAGUAUCUUGUUCCGCCAGAGGCCAUUUACGCCUACCGAAACCCCACAUCAGCUAUAGAGCCAGAGUCGGAAUCACAAUUUGAUCCUCACCGGCAGUCUAUUUAUCAGUGGAAUCCGGAGGAGAUUGCCAACCAGUGGCACCAGGGGGAUCCUUCUCAGUACGACCCGAGCUAUAACUUUGGAUAUUCGCUAGGCCAGCCGUGGCCAUAGACCAACUUAGGCCAAAAGCCUAAGCUUGGGGGAGUACGUAUGUCUCGCCGACAUUACAUUCAUGUUCACACACUCAUGCUAGUUGUCGGUGCUCAUACUUUUUCAUUGUAAUGUCCAUGCUAGUUUAUUUUCCUUUUUAUGCUUUCAUCUUGUGUGUUUGAUAAACCUUAAGAAAAACCAAAAAAAAUUAGUUGUAGCUUUUAUCUAGUUUACUUUCUUGCUUGUAGUAGUAACUAAAAUAAAACCCAAAAAGAUUUCAUGUUAUUCUUUUUCUUGUUGGGAGCUCUCUCGUGUAAAUAGUUUUACUUCUUUUCUUUUCUUUGGGGUUCGAUAGGAGAAGACCAUGAUUAAAAUGUUGAGUGGCUCUCAUAUGCAUUAUUGUUGAUCUAACCAAGAGACCAUAUUACCUUGUCUUCUCUCUUGAAUUGAAUGCUUGCAGAUUCCAGCUUAGUCCAAUGCACGUGCACUAUUAUUAUUAUCCACACUAUUCGAUCGUGCAAGUGAAAGGCAAUAUUGAUGAUUAUAUGAUGAACUUAUUGAGAUGAGAAAAGCUGGUAUGAACUCGACCUCUCUUGUUUUUGUAAAUAUGAUUAGUUCAUCGUUCCUGAUUCAUCCUAUUAUGAAUAGACAUGCUUGCAAUGACAAUUAGAGAUUAUAGUUGCUUAUGCCAUGCUUAAUUAGCUAGGAGCUUAUAAUGGUUUACCUUGCAUGCCAACAUGCUAUUAAAAUGGUUGUGAUGUGGUAUGAUAGGGUGGUAUCCUCUUUUGAAUUAUUCAAGUGGCUUGACUUGGCACAUGCUCAUGCAUGUAGUUGAAACAAAAUCAAUAGAGCCUCUAUGAUAUCUAGGUUCAUGGUGCAUUAUAUCCUACUCAUGCUUGCAUUUGGUGUUGAUUAAUUUUAAUGCAUGUUCAUGACUGUUGUCGCUCUCUAGCUAGUCGCUUCCCAGUCUUUUUCUAUCCUUCACUUGUACUAAGCGGGAAUAUUGCUUGUUCAUCCAAUUCCAUAAACCCCAAAGUUAUUCCAUAUGAGUCCACCAUACCUGCCUAUACACGGUAUCUACCUGUCGUUCCAAGUAAAUUUGUAUGUGCCAAACUCUAAACCUUCAAAUAAACAUUCUGUUUUGUAUACUCGAAUAGCUCAUGUAUCAACUAGGGUUGUCUAUAUCUUCCAUGCUAGGAGGGUUAUUCUCAAGAGGAGUGGACUCCGCUCCUCACUCACAAGAAAAUGGCUGGUCACUGGGAUGCCUAGUCCCAUGCUUUAUGCAAAUCAAAUCAAAAUAACUGCAAACAAAACUCCCCCGGGACUCUUGUUAGUUGGAGGCACUCGUUGUUUCGAGCAAGCCAUGGAUUGCAGCUUGUUGGUGGAGGGGGAGUAUAAACUUUACCAUUCUGUUUGAGAACCGCCUACAAUGUGUGUAGCAUGGAAGAUACCGAGAUCUCUCGGUUGUUAUGUUGACAAUGAAAGUAUACCGCUCAGAAUAUUAUUCAUAUCUAUUUCAAAACCGAGCUCUGGCACCUCUACAAAUCCCUGCUUCCCUCUGCGAAGGGCCUAUCUAUUUACUUUUAUGUUGAGUCAUCAUCCUCUUAUUAAAAAGCACCAGUUGGAGAGCACCGCUGUCAUUUGCAUCCAUUAUUGUUAGUUUACAUCGAUUAUGACUUGACUGGAUCUCUUUUACCAUGAAUUACAAUGUCUAGUCAGUCCUUGAUCUUUAAAGGUUCUCUGCAUUUAUGUUUUGUGGUAUCAGAAAGGGCUAGCGAGAUACCAUUCUGUUAUCUCAUAUUAUGAUUUUUUUGAGAAAGUGUUGUCAUCCAAGAUUUAUUAUUAUUGCUCGCUAGUUGAUUAUGCCAUUGAUAUGAGUAAACAUGAGACCUAAGUGUUAUUGUGAAUAUGGUUAGUUCAUAAUCUUUGCUGAAAACUUGAAUGCUGGCUUUACAUAUUUACAACAACAAGAGCAAACAGAGUUUGUAAAAGUUUUUCUUUAUCACUUUCAGUUUAUCAACUGAAUUGCUUGAGGACAAUCAAAGGUUGAAGCUUGGGGGACUUGAUACAUCUCUGUCGUAUCUAGUUUUCCAAACACUUUUGCCCUUGUUUUGGACUCUAACUUGCAUGAUUUGAAUGGAACUAACCCGGACUGACGCUGUUUUCAGCAGAAUUGCCAUGGUGUUAUUUUUGUGCAGAAAUAAAAGUUCUCGGAAUGACCUGAAAAUCAACGGAGAAUUAUUUUGGAAUAUAUAAAAAAUACUGGAAGAAGAAUCCAUGUCAGGGGGGCCUCCACCUGUCCACGAGGGUGGGGGCGCGCCCUACCCCCUGGGCGCGCCCCCUGCCUCGUGGGCCCCCUGACGCUCCACCGAUCUCAACUCCAACUCUAUAUAUUCGUGUUCGGGGAGAAAAAAUUAGAGAGAAGGAUUCAUCAAGUUUUACGAUACGGAGUCGCCGCCAAGCCCUAAACUCUCUUGGGAGGGCCGAUCUGGAGUCUGUUCGGGGCUCCGAAGAGGGGAAUCCGUCGCCAUCGUCAUCAUCAACCUUCCUCCACCACCAAUUUCAUGAUGCACACCGCCGUGUGUGAGUAAUUCCAUCGUAGGCUUGCUGGACGGUGAUGGCUUGGAUGAGAUUUAUCAUGUAAUCGAGUUAGUUUUGUUAGGGUUUGAUCCCUAGUAUCCAAUAUGUUCUGAGAUUGAUGUUGCUAUGACUUUGCUAUGCUUAAUGCUUGUUAGUAGGGCCCGAGUGCCAUGAUUUCAUAUCUGAACCUAUUAUGUUUUCAUCAAUAUAUGAGAGUUUUUGGUCCUAUCUUGCAAGUCUAUAGUCACCUAUUAUGUGUUAUGAUCCGUUAACCCCAAAGUGACAAUAAUCAGGAUACUUAUCAGUGAUGACCGUAGUUUGAGGAGUUCAUGUAUUCACUAUGUGUUAAUGCUUUGAUCCGGUACUCUAUUAAAAGGAGGCCUUAAUAUCCCUUAGUUUCCAAUAGGACCCCGCUGCCACGAGAGGGUAGGACAAAAGAUGUUAUGCAAGUUCUUUUCCAUAAGCACGUAUGACUAUAUUCGGAAUACAUGCCUACAUUACAUUGAUGAACUGGAACUAGUUUUGUGUCACCCUAGGUUAUGACUGUUACAUGAUCGAUCACAUGUGGCAUAAUUCUCCAUCACCGAUCCAAUGCCUACGAGCUUUUCAUAUAUUGUUCUUCACCCAUUUACUUUUCCGUUGCUACUGUUACCAUCACAAUAAAACCCAAAAAUAUUACUUUUGCUACCGUUACUUUUGCCAUCGUUACCACUACUAUCAUAUUACUUUGCUACUAAAUACCUUGCUGCAGAUAUUAAGUUUCCAGGUGUGGUUGAAUUGACAACUCAACUACUAAUACUUGAGAACAUUCUUUGGCUCCCUUUGUGUCGAAUCAAUAAAUUUGGGUUGAUUACUCUACCCUCGAAAACUGUUGCGAUCCCCUAUACUUGUGGGUUAUCAAGACUAUUUUCUGGCGCCGUUGCCGGGGUUAAUGCUUUGGUCCGGUACUCUACUAAAAGGAGGCCUUAAUAUCCCUUAGUUUCCAAUAGGACCCCGCUACCACAGAGGGUAGGAAAAAAGAUGGCAUGCAAGUUCUUUUCCAUAAGCAUGUAUGACUAUAUUCGGAAUACAUGCCUACAUUACAGUGAUGAACUGGAUCUAGUUCUACGUCACCCUAGGUUAUGACUGUUACAUGAUCGAUCGCAUCUGGUGUAAUUCUCCAUCACCGAUCCAAUGCCUAUGAGCUUUUCAUAUAUUGUUCUUCGCUUAUUUACUUUUCCGUUGCUACUGUUACCAUCACUAUAAAACCCCAAAAAAAAUUACUUUUGCUACCGUUACUUUUGCUAUUGUUACCACUACUAUCGUAUUACUUUGCUACGAAAUACCUUGCUGCAGAUAUUAAGUUUCCAGGUGUGGUUGAAUUGACAACUCAGCUGCUAAUACUUGAGAAUAUUCUUUGGCUCCCCUUGUGUCAAAUCAAUAAAUUUGGGUUGAAUACUCUACCCUCGAAACCUAUUGCGAUCCCCUAUAUUGUGGGUUAUCAACGCUUCGUAUGUCAUGUGCACUGCCUUGUACAUGAUGGUGUUGUACGAUUGAGCCCGUGUGGGCCCCACCAUGAAAAUUUCGGACGAAAUCUCUAUCAUAUGUUUGUUUCCGGCUUAUCCUAUAAGUCAAAUCCUUUGUUUUGUUUUGGUUUGUGGUAUUCGAGUUGCUUCAAAGUCAAGUGUUGAUUCCAUACCUUUCCUAAGCGGUGUUCUCAUAUUUCUAUGUGAAUACUAAUCCUUCUUGAUCGUUGAGAUUGUCAUGUUAAUUCUUUUCUAACUGGUGUGCUCCUCUUCAAGUGGAUCCGAUCAUUUUCAUCAUCCGCAAGAUCAAUUCUAAGUUCUCUCAACGGUGUUUGUUUCAUCCGUCCCAAGUUGCCUUUGUUUUCCCGCCCUCCCACCCUUUUCUUUAAGGAUUCAGAUUUCUUAAUCAUGUAUCCUUUUAUUUGUGGGAAGUCUUUUCAGUCUUUUCUUUCAAUGUUUUACCCGGUGUUUCUUAUGGAGAUGCUAAGGGAGCUUCAAGUUCAUCAUUCUUCGUUCUAUUUCUUCUCCGGUGGAUUCAGUUCAAGCUUUGUCGAUCAUAUCUUUUCCUUGUUUCAAAUGUUUUCUCAUGCCGGUGCACCUCUUAAUCAUCCACUUCUCGCCAUUCAUUGUUCUGGAGUUCUUAAGAUAUCUCAGGAGAUUCGUGUUUUCAUUCCUAAGCCGCUCAAGCUAUCUCAAGGUUGUUAUCUCUUUUAGCCAUUUAAUUUAACCAGCGAAAUCUCUCUUUUAAAUCGUUCAACGAUGUAUCUUUGGAGUGGGCCUUAACCCACAGGCCUUUUCCCAGGAUCUUACCUGACUCUUCUAUUUUUCCAGAGUUAUUUCUCAAAUCUUUUUAAAGUUUGACAUAAGAAUGAAUUAUCAUCAGUCAUAUUCCUUCUCCAAGAUCGUUUCAAAACAUUGUCAUCAUUGGUUCAUCAUUUCUAUUCUUCAUUGUUCCGGGGUGUCUCAUCUUUUUCUGUAGUGUUUCUCGUCGCCAUUCUUGGAUUUUGAAGACCGAAGAAGAGUUUUUCCUCCAAACCUUGGUCCGUUCUCUCGAAGAUGCAUAGUUCAAGCUUGAUGCCAUCCUCUCAUAAUUGUUUUUGAUUGUGAGAAUUCUUUUCACCCAUCUAGACCAAUUCAGGAGUCUUUUCAGUUUGAUUCUUCGGAGCCCAUCAUCUCAGAAUUAUUCAUUCCAGCUUUUAGCUCUCGUUCGCCAAAUCUUACCAGUGCAUCAUUCAAGUAUUCUCUAAUCAGCUCGGGAUCUCUUCGUUCACUUGUAUUUAAAUUCUCUCAAGCAUCUUCGUUCAUUUGCUAAUUCUUCCCAGUGUCUCGCUAUCUUUUCUUUAAUCGUUUUUAAUUCUUACGGUGGUUUGUCCAACAUUCCUCUUCCGUCGUUAUCGUAUCAAUGCAUUCGUGCUUUCCAAAUCCUACCGGUGGAUCAUUGAAGACCUUCUCAAGUUUAUGCUAUAUCUCUCUUAAUCCUUUCUACGAUAACAAGUGGCAUGCCAAUUCUGUUGCUUGUUAUCAAUUUAAGUGGAUGAACGGUAAGCAUAACGUGAUUCUUAUCAUCAAGGUGAUUUAAUUCAUUAUCCCGGAGGCUCGUCAAAAUUCCUGGAUCAAGUGUUUCAUCCUUUUCUUUCCAGAGUCUCAAGCUCUCAAUUAUAUCAUCACGAAGAUCCAUCUAAAUCAUUGCAAGGAUUCACCUUGUGUUUUCAACUUCUCUUUCUUUCUAUCAUCCUUUAUUACCGGAGUUCUUCAUGGAGGCUCUAUAUGGUGACUCAUCAAGGAUUCCUUUCAUUCUUCAUUUGUUCUUCAACAUUUCUCUUGAAGUUAUGAUCCGUCAAGCUAUACACAAAAUUAAACGGGGUGCUCAACACAUGUUUUAUUUUGAGGAGUUCAAGUACUGUUCAUCUUGCAUUCUUAUAUGCAAUUCAUUAUUUAUCUUUCGAGGUGGUGUUAUGUCACUCUUGACAAUUUCCCUUUGUGUGUCAUGAUUCAAUAGUUGUCAAGAACGAGAUAGUUAAUCCCAUCAAUUUCUUCGAGUAUGAGCUCUUCUCAAUCCAUCAAUCUCUUCGUUGGAGUUAUCUUGGGUUAUAUUUCACCUAAAGCCUUCCCUAAGGAAUGUUGCUAUUGUGGUGCUUAUCAAUAUUCCAAGUUUCCUCCUAUUCUCACAAUAAAGAAAUUUUCAUCUCUUCGUUGCUCUCAAGCAAGCAAUUGAUUUCGUUAGUGGCAGAAUUUCACCUUAAAUUUUGGGAUGUUUCCGUUAAGUCCAUAACAAGUUUAUUCUUUUCAAUCUUCAUUUCCCAACAACUCCGUCCAAUCCUCUAUGGAAGGAUACUUUCGAAUUCAUUCAAGGUAGAAGAUGUUGUUUUCUUCUUUGUUACUUUUAGUCCAUUCUAUCUUUUGUUUCGGAGGCAUUGUGAUGUUGCACUCUUUGACCCAUCAUUCCAUUUUCGUCAAAGAUCAUGUUCUUUUCCUUUGCCUAUCCAUUCAACCGGAGUGUCAUGUCCUCCAUUCAAGUUCUCUCAUCUUAUCAAGUUUUGCCUCCCUUCUCAAUUGGAGUGAUGUCUGAAAUCUUUCUUACCCCUUGUGCCAUUCUUUCAAUAGUUCCGGAGGCAGUGUGUUGUUGAUUUCAUCAAGUAUCCUCUCAUCUUGUAAAGUUCAUGUUCAAUCCCUUCCAUUUACAGUCGGAGUCCUGUCCAAAUUAUAUCAUUCUUAUUCCUUCUCUAUCUUGUUUUAACCGGAGUGUUGUGUCUAUCAUUCCUCUUUUAACCGGAGUCUCAUCCAAGCGCUUUCAUUUUGCCAAGUUCAUAUUCUAUGCCUUCCAUUUUCAACCCGAGUGGUUUUAAUUUCUUCCAUGCCCCUUGAGCUCUUGUUUCGCGUGUUUGCAACCUACAAGGUUCUCAUAAUGUUCCUUGUUCCUCUCGUCCCAUGGACUGUUUGCAAUCUUGUUCAUCCUCAAUGGUUUUCUUUCUUUCAAUUUGCUCAACCUCUCAAGGUUCGUGGUUUCACUCUUUUGUCAAGAAGCAACUUAGUUUUACCUCUCCCUCUUCCGCUUCUCUCCGGUGCCAUCCUAAGAUCUCAGGACGAGAUCUCUUGUAAGUGGAGGAGUGUUGUGAUGCCUCGAGACCGACGCUCUAGACGCCUUCAAUGUUUUGCGCGACCGCCGUGUGUUUUAUUUGUUUGUUGCAUUCAUCAUCGCAUCAUCUGCAUUGCAUCAGAACUCCAUUGUCGUCAUUGUAUUCAAACUUGCAUCCCCUCGUAGUUGCCGCGUCCCCCCUUGCUUUCAUUGACCGUUCUGAGACCAACCUUGUUCUUCCUUUUCCCUCUUGCCUAAACCGGAGUCUCUUUGCACAGUGCAUCGACCCCUCGCCCGUGUCCGCAACUUCCCGAACCCGAACUGGACUAUCGUUACCGUUGGGUCCGGAUCAUCCCAAAACAUCCCUAAAUCAUCAUGGUUUCUCGUUGGUCUCUCCUAAGCUAAUUAUUCUUGACUGUCCGAUUAAAAUCGAAGGGACCAAAUGCCCCUAAACUUAGCCCACUUGCUAUAUAUAGAUCAACCAGUAGCCUAUCUUGCAAAAACCCUAAAAUCUAGGGACAUUGUCCCAUCCACUCGUCACCGCCGCCACAUUUCCCACCUCGGGAUCCAUCCCAUCCAAUCAGUGUGUGCGCCCCCGAUCCAAAAAUCCUCUCGAUCUCUCCCCACCAACCAGCGCCUCCCUUGAUCCCCUCAUCCACCUCCUGCAGCCCUAAACGCCCGAGGCCCCAACAGCCCGAGCACCGGCCGGCCAUUGAAGCUCCUCUGCGGCCUCCUUCCUCGCCUGACGUCGCCGGCAACCAGUUGCUCCGCCUCCGGCAUCGUCCCGUUCAUCCCGGCCUCCUCAACACCCGGAGCUCUCCUAGCCGUUCGCCUCCUCCUCAUCCGAGUGGAGCCCCGUCCUCCUGAGCUCUCCCGCAGGCUAGCCCCGACCACCCCAUCUCUACUUCCUCCCUCCCACGGCUCUCUUUUUUUCUGUAAUCUCUCCGUCUCUCGUUCUACAACCAUCGCCAUGGGAGCCAAGCUCCAAGCUCCGCCGCCGGUGCAUCCCACCUCCAACCCGGCGCCAGGAAUGGAACCCCCGCGCUUGGAUCUCGCCGCCGUGUCACCCGACCUUGCCGUCUGUUGGCCUCCCACAACCCUCUGCCGCGCAUGCUGCCGCUGCAAGCUUCCGCCGUCGGCCUUUGUUUGGUCUGCACGAGCAGAUGAGCUCGUCCAUCCCGAGAGUCGUGGUCAUCCCCUGCAUCAAGCCCCACCGCCUCCUCAUGUUUUCCUUCCUCGCCGUCGCCGCGCCAAGUCCUGCUGCUGCCCCGCCGUUGACCUUCAACGCUGCCGGUCUGCCCCUGUCAAGCCGAGAACGAGCAGCAGCAGCUAGCCCGCUCGUCCGCAUUGACCGCGCCUUGCCAACCACGUGGGCUGCAGCCCCACCAGCCUACCUCUCCACUGACCGGGCCAGGCCCAAUGUGAGCAUCCUCCCAGCCCCUUUGACCGUGCACUGUUGGGCCAACUACUUUCGGCCCAACUUCUGUUUUUUUAACGGACGAAUUUAGCUUUUAUCCAGUGUUUUAUUAUUUUGCAGGAAACCCCUCCAUCUUCAUGCAUAUAAUAACUUAAUAACCAUGCAUCUUUCGUAAAAACAUUAUAUAUGUAACUUGCUUAGAAUUUUGCCUAGUUCCAUAAUAUGCCGCUUUCAUCCUUGUUAAAAAUGUUUAAAAUGAUGUUUGUUUAAUUUUGCAUAAAUGGCAUGCUAAAAUGGUUUAUUUCAUAACUAAAUAACCGUAGCUCCAAAUUAAAUGUUUUAUAUAUGUAAUUUGCUUGAAAAAAUGCAUAGAUUAACAUGGUGGCAUUACUUUGCAUAUUUAACAACUCUAAAAUAUGAUUUAGGGCAGAACAGUACCAAAUCCAUAAAUUGCAUAUGAGGUUUUUCCGGAGUUGUUGUUUGUUAUUUCCGGCCUUAUUUAAACUUGCCUAAAUAGUUAGUUUACUUUUGCCACACCUCUUGCCAUGUGAACUAAAUAACCGAAUUUGGUGUUUCGUUGCAUAUUGAGCUCCACUUAACUUGUAGUGUUGUUUGUUGCACUUUGCCAUGCCAUGCCCAUUAAACCGGACAUGCAUUAUAAUUGUUUGUGCAUCAUGCCAUGAUUAUGCUUGUGUCUUUACCAUGUUGCUUGUUUCUUUUUGGUUUGCUUCUCUCGUUAGCUUCAGUUUUGUUCUCGAGUUGUGAAGAUCCGUUCGACUACGUCCGUUUGUCUUCUUCAUGGACUCGUUCUUCUUCCUUGCAGGAUCUCAAGCAAGAUGGCCAUACCCUCGGUAUCACUUCUAUCUUUGCUUGCUAGUUGUUUGCUCUAUCGCUAUGUCGCGCUACCUACCACUUGUUUAUCAUGCCUCCCAUAUUGUCAUGUCAAGCCUCUAACCCACCUUCCUAGCAAAUCGUUGUUUGGCUAUGUUAUCGCUUUUGCUCAGCCCCUCUUAUAGCACUGCUGGUUGCAGGUGAAGUUGAAGUUCGCUCCAUGUUGGAUCAUGUUUAUGUUGGGAUAUCACAAUGUCUCCUAUUUUAAUUAAUGCAUCUAUAUACUUGGUAAAGGGUGGAAGGCUCGGCCUUAUGCCUGGUGUUUUGUUCCACUCUUGCCGCCUUAGUUUCCAUCAUACCGGUAUUAUGUUCCUUGAUUUUGCAUUCCUUACGUGGUUGGGGUUAUGGGACCCCCUUGAUAGUUCACUUUGAAUAAAACUCCUCCAGCAAGGCCCAACGUUGGUUUUAACAUUUGCCACCUAAGCCUUUUCCCUUGGGUUCUGCAGAAUAAAGGGUCAUAUUUAUUUUAACCUCCCCAGGCCAGCAUUCCUUUGAGUAUUGGUCCAAACUAGAGCCCUUUGCAGCGCCACCUCGGGGAAACUUGAGGGCUGGUUUUAGUUGUACGGAUUGCUCAUACGGUGUGCCCUGAGAACAAGAUAUGUGCGGCUCCUAUCGGGAUUUGUCGGCACAUUCGGGCGGUCUUGCUAGUCUUGUUUUACCAUUGCGAAAUGUCUUGUAAUCGGGAUUCCGAGACUGAUUGGGUCUUUUCGGGAGAAGGAAUAUCCUUCGUUGAUCGUGAGAGCUUGUAAUGGGCUAAGUUGGGCACCCCUGCAGGGUAUAAACUUUCGAGAGCCGUGCCCGCGGUUAUGUGGCAGAUGGGAAUUUGUUAAUAUCCGGUUGUAGAGAACUUGACACUUGACUUAAUUAAAAUGCAUCAUCCGCGUGUGUAGCCGUGAUGGUCUCUUUUCGGCGGAGUCCAGGAAGCGAACAUGGUUUGGGUUAUGCUUGAACGCAAGUAGUUCAGGAUCACUUCUUGAUCACUUCUAGCUUAUCACCGUUGCGUAGCUUCUCAUCUUACUCUUAUUUUUGUAUGUUAGCCACCAUAUUUGCUUAGCGCUUGCUGCAGCUCCACCUCAUUACCUUAUCCUACCCAUAAGCUUAAAUAGUCUUGACCUCGCGGGUGUGAGAUUGCUGCGUCCUCGUGCGACGCCCCCGAUUUGACCGUACACUAAUCAUACACGCAAAUGUGUACGAUCAAGAUCAGGGUCUCACGGGAAGAUAUCACAACACAACUCUACAAAUAAAAUAAGUCAUACAAGCAUCAUAUUACAAGCCAGGGGCCUCAAAGGCUCGAAUACAAGAGCUCGAUCAUAGACAAGUCAGCGGAAGCAACAAUAUCUGAGUACAGACAUAAGUUAAACAAGUUUGCCUUAAGAAGGCUAGCACAAACUGGGAUACAGAUCGAAAGAGGCGCAGGACUCCUGCCUGGGAUCCUCCUAAACUACUCCUGGUCGUUGUCAGCGGGCUGCACAUAGUAGUAUAGGCACCUCCAGUGUAGUAGUAGUCGUCGUCGACGGUGGUGUCUGGCUCCUGGUCUCCAAUGUUUGGUCGCAGCAAACGGGUAUAGAAAGGGGGGAAAGAGGGAGCAAAGUAACCGUGAGUACUCAUCUAAAGUACUCGCAAGCAAGGAGCUACACUACAUAUGUAUGCAUUGGUAUCAAAUGGAAGGCUAUCAUAUGUGGACUGAACUGCAGAAUGCCGGAAUAAGAGGGGGAUAGCUAGUCCUAUCGAAGACUGCGCUUCUGGUAACCUCCAUCUUGCACCAGGAGAAAAGAGUAGAUGGUAAGUUCACCAAGUAUCAUCGCAUAGCAUAAUCCUAACCGAUGAUCCUCCCCUCGUCGCCCUGUGAGAGAGCGAUCAUCGGUUGUAUCUGGCACUUGGAAGGGUGUGUUUUAUUAAGUAUCCGAUUCUAGUUGUCAUAAGGUCAAGGUACAACUCCAAGUCGUCAUGUUACCUAAGAUCACAACUAUUCGAAUAGAUUAACUUCCCUGCAGGGGUGCACCACAUAACCCAACACGCUCGAUCCCAUUUGGCCGGACACACUUUCCUGGGUCAUGCCCGGCCUCGGAAGAUCAACACGUCGCAGCCCUACCUAGGCACAACAGAGAGGUCAGCACGCCGGUCUAAAUCCUAUGGCGCAGGGGUCUGAGCCCAUCUCCCAUUACACACCUGCACGUUGCGAGGGCGGCCAGAAGCAGACCUAGCCUAGCAGGCGUUCUAUUCCAAUCCGGCGCACACCGCGCAGUCGCUGACGUCAUGAAGGCUUUGGCUGAUACCACGACAUCGAGUGCCCAUAACUGUCCCUGCGUAGAUGGUUAGUGCGUAUAAGCCAGUAGCCAGACUCAGAUCAAAUACCAAGAUCUAGUUAAACGUGUUAAGUAUCCGCGAACGCCGGCCAGGGCCAGGCCCACCUCUCUCUGAGGUGGUCACAACCUGCCCUGUCGCUCCGCCUCAAAGUAACAGUCGGGGGCCGUCGGGAACUCAGGCCCACCACUACCUGGAUGGAGCCACCUGCCCCUUCAGCCCCCAUCUCUGAACAGUAUGAUAAGUAAUGUAACAGUAUAAGUAUAUAUCAUAUGCCCGUGAUCACCUCCCGAAGUGAUCACGACCCAGUAGUAUAGCAUGGCAGACGGACAAGAGUGUAGGGCCACUGAUGAUAAUCUAGCAUCCUAUACUAAGCAUUUAGGAUUGCAGGUAAGGUAUCAAUAGCUGGAGCAACAAUGACAGGCUAUGCAAUAGAAUAGGAUUAACGAAAAGCAGUAACAUGCUACACUACUCUACUACAAGCAGUAUAGAGGAGAGUAGGCGAUAUCUGGUGAUCAAGGGGGGGUUUGCCUGGUUGCUCUAGCAAUAGAGAGGGGUCGUCAACACCCUAGUCGUACUGGGUAGCAGCGGCGUCGGUCUGGGUGUCUAUCGAGAGAAGACGGGGAAGAAACAAUAAAUAUUAAGAAAACAGAUGCAUAGUGUUGCAUGACAUGACAAGUAUCGGUGCUAGGGGUGCCCUAACGCGGUACGAGGUGGUACCGGUGAAGGGGGAAAACAUCCGGGAAAAUAUCCCCGGUGUUUCACGUUUUCGGACAAACGAACCGGAGAGGAAAGUUGCAUCUUCGCUAUGCUAGGGAUGCGUGGCGGACGAACGGGCUGCAUAUCCGGGUUUGUCUCGUCGUUCUGAACAACUUUCAUGUACAAAGUUUUUCCAUCCGAGCUACGGUUUAUUUUAUAUUGAUUUUAAAAGAUUUAAAUCAUUUUUAGGAUUUAUUUAAUUAUUUAAAUUCAACAUUAUCCAGAAUAGUGUUUGCUGACGUCAGCAUGACGUCAACAUACCGUCAGCAGUCAACAUUGACCGUUGACCUGGUCAACCUGACGUGUGGGUCCAGUGGGACCCGCCUGUCAUUCUCUGCUUAGCCAAAUUAGGGUUUAGGUUAAUUAACUAGGAUUAGUUAGUUGUUUUAGUUUAAUUAAUCAAAAUUAAUUAAGUUAAUUAAUUCUUUAACUAAUCCUCUAAUUAAUUAAUUAAUAAUUUAAUUUAUUAUUUAUUUUAUUUUUUUCAUUUAAUUCCUUUUUUAUAAACCGUUCUGGGGGGCAGGGCCCCACUGUCAGUGGCCCAGAGGGGCCAUAGCGGGUGUGGCUAAUCGGGCGGAGCCGGGCGCAGGCGCUCGGGCGUGGGCGCCCGAAGGGAGACCCAAGGCAUGGCGAGUGUUCGCCGGAGCGUGACCAGGGGGCGGAGGUGGGACGGCGAGCGGCGGCAGCCACUACGGGAACCGCGAGCGGGGCAGGGGCGAAAGCGGACGGGGCGGUGGAGGCGUCCGGAGGUAGCAGCGGGGGAGGCGGCCACGGUGGGCGCGCACGGGGAGGGGCGCGUGCUAGGCGCGGCUAAGGUGGGCGCGCGCGGGAUGUCGGUCCAGUUGCGGCGCGGGGAGAAGGCCGCGGCCACGGGGUAGCAUCGAGUGGACGGCGGGUGCGCGGAGAGGACGAGAGGCCGAGGGCCUCACCGGGGUUGUAGGGGUUCGGGCAGCGGUGCUCGGGGAGAAGGUCGGAGACGACGUUCCGGCGAGGAGGACAUCCGGCAAGGACGACGAGGCGACGGCGAUUCGGGGAAGAUGGUGAGGGGCUCCAGCGGCGCGCUCCUCGUGCGGUGGGGGCGAGGUAGCUCUGGGUGGGGUCCCGCGUCAGNNNNNNNNNNNNNNNNNNNNNNNNNNNNNNNNNNNNNNNNNNNNNNNNNNNNNNNNNNNNNNNNNNNNNNNNNNNNNNNNNNNNNNNNNNNNNNNNNNNNNNNNNNNNNNNNNNNNNNNNNNNNNNNNNNNNNNNNNNNNNNNNNNNNNNNNNNNNNNNNNNNNNNNNNNNNNNNNNNNNNNNNNNNNNNNNNNNNNNNNNNNNNNNNNNNNNNNNNNNNNNNNNNNNNNNNNNNNNNNNNNNNNNNNNNNNNNNNNNNNNNNNNNNNNNNNNNUGGGGGGAGGGGGGGCAGCCUGUUCGGGCGGCUGGGCCGCCAUCUGGGCCAAGGCCCAGUGUGGCCGGGGGUUGGCCUCCUUUCUUUCUUUUGUUGUUGUGUUUUUUUAAUUCUAUUUCUUUUCUAUUUUCCCUUUUUUAGUUUCAUAAAAUUUAGAAACAACAACUAAUUUAGUGCUAUUAAAUAGGUCACGGCCCCAAAUAUUUUGGCACUCUAAAUAAGGUAUUUCACAUUUGCUUUUUAUUCUAAAAGCAUUUUAGAUAAUUGUCUUAUCACUGUUUUCAUUAACUUAGUGCAUUUAAAUAUUUUAUUAAAGAUGAUUUCUUCACCAACAUUUAUUAUGGAUUAUUUGACACAUUAGGAACAAUUUAGUUUUGACUUUUGAAAACUUUAAUUGUUUUGACUUUAAUUCAAAUUUGAAUUUGGAUCGGUUUUGAACUAACGCGAGAUUAUCAACAAUAAUCGAGGUGACGAGGCAUCAUUACCAAAGGGUUAGUGUAGCUUGAUUACCCGGGCGUCGCAAUUCUCCUCCACUACAAGAAAUCUGGUCCCGAGAUUUAAGAGGGGGACUAAGGGGAAAAUUCUGGUUACGAAAUUCUAACGGGUCUUCUCGAUCUUGGUUUCUCUUCUCGAAGAGGUCGAUCCAUUACGUUGAAGUCUUUAUUUCUCUGCUCCAGGUCAUCAUGAUCUAGUUGUCAUCCUUUCUUCGGGAUCUCCAUCAUCCUACGAACGCGACCAAGGGGAAAAACUCUGGAAGAACGCAUCUCCACAAAGCUGGGCAUCUGAUGGUGAACUCAAUGGGGUGAAUUCGCUGAGUGCAAUAUACGAUGGUACCAAAGUUUCAAACAGGUAGGCAAUCGUUCGAUGCCUGAAACGGAGUGUGAAAAGGGGUUCAGAGCAACGAGAAUAAGUAUUGCAUCUAAUACCAAAAUAGAUCACUAGGAAGGUGGCUCACGAAUUAGCCACGAAACCAAGAGCAAGGAAUAACUGUGUCAACAAGGUGUACAAGAGAGUCAGGUUUCGAUCCUGUGGAACUGUGGGUUAUGGGCCCACCAUGUCGGUUAAAAGUAGGAAGGCAGUGGCGCCUGGCACGAUCAUGUAAGUAAGGCAUGUCAGAGGAUAGUCUGUCGGUCAUGUCAGCAACAACAUCUGUACCAAGGGCGAGGGACAAAGAGAACCAUUUUCCUGCUCAUUGAACGAGGCAGACUAGUAGGCAAAGUUCUCAUCCAUCGAUGGUUACUGGAAUUUCAUCAACAAAAGUAACAUGGUCUUUCUGAUAGAGUGGUACAACGAGGUGUUUAUAUAAGCAGGGAAUAUAGAUCACAAGAAGGUUUAAACAAACCAAUGGAAAGGAAAAGUGAUUAUCAGGUUUAAAUAGAACAAUGGAAAGGAAAAUGUGUUUAAACACAUAUUUUGAGGGUAUAUCCUUCCCAAGGACAAGCAAAGCAUGAUAUCCAUGACAAGAUAUAAUGUAGAAAACUCUUAAGGUAAGGUGAGAGAAAUUUCAUGACAUUACCCAUACAAGGGUGUUUGGAUAAGUGAGUAAGAAACAUUUAGCAUUGGGCUUCAAAUGUUCUUUGUUGAAAAUUGGAGUACCACAGACAUGCUUCAAGAUAGCAUUGACAUGGUCAUCAUGUAAGGGUCAGAUUUUGGAUACACAAAGGAUCCAUCAGGAACAACUUAUAGAAUAAGUCUUACAAUUUCCUCAUGGAAGAAUGGUUAACCUUGCUAGAAAGGAAACUAUAACACUAGGUCCUCCGGCUAGGUUUCCUAGGAAUGACACCACCUUACCAGUCAUAUAAAGACCAAUGUUAUAACUCAUGGAAAUAUAUUCCAACCAUCAUAUUGGCAGAGAUCCAGAUCUGAUUGAUGUCAGGAUACCUCAGACUCAGGAUGCCUAAUAAGAAAAAGGUGCAACACAAAUUGACGAGCUGGCAUUUCAAGAUUUUCGGGAAAUGAACUAUGGAAGCAAGUUCCGAAAAAAGAGUUCAUCAUUAAACCAAGGAGAGGAUGAGCAGGUGGUUGAUGGUCUCAGCGACAAUUCAUCGAGAUUUCCAAAAGAAGGAUCUCCAUAAUUAUUUGAACAAGGAGAUAACAUUUAUCAGAUCAAAUGGUAUAAUGAUGUAUGCUCGAGGAAAACAUACACAAUUAAACAUUGGUUGAAAGGUGCAUCCAAAAUAUUGGCUUAGGUAGCAUGAUCAAUGUUAGAAUGGUGAUUCAAUAACCAAUAGUCUAAGGAUGAACUAUUGACCAUUAACUUCAAAGCAAUAGGGUUGCUAGAAGUACAGAAUCCAAACAUCACCGUUCACUUGUUGGUAUCCCGGUUAGAAACAACACGGGGACCAGGAAAAUAAUGGUGAUGGUGAUAAGUAUCACUUGUAUCAAGAAUUUUCGAGAGGUGGUGAAAUUCCCACGACAUUCUUGACUUAAAAGAUGGUAAUACUCCAAGGUAAAGAAGAACAAAUGCUGGAAAGCAAGGAUCUCAAGGUAUACCACAAAUCACAAAUAAGUUUGUGUUCGAGGGAAGGCAGUAAAGUGGUCAAUGAUAACACAAAUCAUCGAGGGCAAGGAUGGUAUUUCUCAUCAUGAAUUUAAUUGAUAUCCUGGAAGAGCUCGGAAGGCUGAUGAUGAUCCGACACAUUAGUCGAGAGAUUUCAUGAAGAUGUAAUCGGUUGGCGAUGCCAUCAAGUCAAAUGAUGAUGAAGCGAAAGGUUAUGGGAACCGAGGGUACGACACAAACUCGAAACCAAGCUUGCUGUUCAAGGCGAAAUGAUAUGAUGAGGAAGAUUGAUGUAAGCUUAGCUCAUUGUCGAAAAUUAUGCUCCGGGAAUAAGGACCAGGUAGCACAGUUAAAAUCAGCACGAUAAUGAUAUAGCUGAUCAAGCUAGGAAUGACUUGAAGGAUUAUUAAACUCAUAAGCAACGAAAAUUACUUAGGGUUACCGAACCGGAAUGCGGAAUCAGUUCACAUAUCAAUGUUCUCGGUUGACAACCCAGAACCCAGGAAAAUUGGAAUCGAUGAGAAAUAACAGUUGAUGAAGAACCCAUAAGAAGUUAGGCCAUUCCAUGAUAUUCUCGAGUUACCAGAGUGUAAUACUCGACGGUAGAUCAAAGUAAAGGUUGGACAGGUGGAGUGAUCUGCAGAAGACAAGUACUUCAACUUGUCCGAGAAAUAGUAUCAAAGAAGAACAAUAUGGUCGGAACCACGAUUGCAAAAGACCAUAUCCUAGAUAUAAGAUGAACUUAUACCAGGGAAUAAUUAAUUUAAGAGAAGCUUCCAUGAUAAGAUCUACAUCGUGUCCAUGGGCAUGAACACAAAGUUCAAGGUCGACUCCCACUUCUUCAAUGUAUAACCUACUAUUCACCUCUCACUUUUCGAAAAUGACAUUAGUUGUUGAAAGUUUUACCUGGUGCAAUACCAGAUAAGUAUGACCCGUGAAAUCUUUCGGGUCCACAUAGAUUAGGUAAGGCGUUGAUUCAACCCAUCGGGGCAUCUUAAGAACAUAUACCACAAACUUCAUAGUAAAUAAUACAAGCUCGAAAGUAGAGUAUGAUUAUCAAAGCAGAGGAUACAAAUUACCAAAGGCAUUAUAUACCCAUGGAAAUGCUUGAUACGUGUCCAACAUAUCUAUAAUUUUUGAUUGCUCCAUGCUAUAUUAUCUACUUUUUUGGACUAUAUUGGGCUUUAUUUUCCACUUUUAUAUUAUUUUUGGGACUAAACUAUUAACCGGAGGCCCAACCCAGAAUUGCUGUUUUUGCCUAUUUCAGUGUUUCGGAUAAACAGAAUAUCAAACGAAGUCCAAACAGAAUAAAAUCUUCGGAAACGUGAUUUUCUCACCAAACGUGAUCCAGGAGACUUGGACCCUACUGCAAGGGAUCAAAGAGGUGGUCACAAGGGUGCCCCCCCUAGGGCGCGCCCCCCUGCCUCGUGGGCCCCUCGGUGCUCCACCGACGUACUCCUUCCUCCUAUAUAUACACACGUACCCCCAAACGAUCAGAACGGGAGCCAAAAACCUAAUUCCGCCACCGCAACUUUCUGUAUCCACGAGAUCCCAUCUUGGGGCCUGUUCCGGAGCUCCGCCGGAAGAGGGUCGUCAUCACGGAGGGCUUCUACAUCAUCCUAGCCCCUCCGAUGAAGUGUGAGUAGUUUACCUCAGACCUUCGGGUCCAUAGUUAGUAGCUAGAUGGCUUCUUCUCUCUCUUUGAAUCUCAAUACAAAGUUCUCCCCCUCUCUUGUGGAGAUCUAUUCGAUGUAAUCUUCUUUUUGCGGUGUGUUUGUUGAGACCGCUGAAUUGUGGGUUUAUGAUCAAGUCUAUCUAUGAAUAAUAUUUGAAUCUUCUCUGAAUUCUUUUAUGCAUGAUUUGUUAUCUUUGCAAGUCUCUUCGAAUUAUCCAUUUGGUUUGGCCAACUAGAUUGGUAGUUCUUGCCAUGGGAGAAGUGCUUAGCUUUGGGUUCGAUCUUGCGGUGUCCUUACCCAGUGACAGAAGGGGCAGCAAGGCACGUAUUGUAUCAUUGCCAUCGAGGAUAACAAGACGGGGUUUAUUUCAUAUUGCAUGAAUUUAUCUCUCUACAUCAUGUCAUCUUGCUUAAAGCGUUACUCUGUUUUUAACUUAAUACUCUAGAUGCAUGCUGGAUAGCGGUCAAUGAGUGGAGUAAUAGUAGUAGAUGCAGAAUCGUUUCGAUCUACUUGUCACGGACGUGAUGCCUAUAUACAUGAUCAUGCCUAGAUAUUCUCAUAAUUAUGCACAAUUCUAUCAAUUGCUCAACAGUAAUUUGUUCACCCACCAUAGAAUACUUAUGCUCUUGAGAGAAGCCACCAGUGAAACCUAUGGCCCCCGGGUCUAUUCUCAUCAUAUCAAUCUCCAUCACUUUUAUAUUGUUUUGCUAUUUACUUUGCUUUUACUUUUUACUUUGCAUCUUUAUAUCAAAAAUACCAAAAAUAUUAUAUCUAUCAGAUCUCACUCUCGUAAGUGACCAUGAAGGGCUUGACAACCCCUAAUCGCGUUGGUUGCGAGUAGCUAUCGCUUUGUGCAGGUACGAGGGACUUGAGCGUGGGCUCCUACUGGAUUGAUACCUUGGUUCUCAAAAACUAAGGAAAUACUUACGCUACUCUUCUGCAUCAUCCCUUCCUCUUCGGGGAAAACCAACGCAAGCUCAAGACGUAGCAAUGCUCACAAGGUUUUUGAAUAUGAAGGAUAUUGUCGGAUAAAAUCCAACAAAGGAUCCGGUGGUCUUCAAUGGGUCUGAUGUGAGCAUCGGUACUCAACCAGAGGAGGAAAGGAUGCAUGGAGAUCAGACUAUACAAACAACUGACUAAUUCCAAGCUGAAAUACAAAUGAAUUAUGACCUUCAAAUCAAGGGAUCAGAAGCAAACACUCUGAUCAAGGAUGGAGAAGUUGAGUAGGCUUAGGGGUACAAUCAAUGGCAAUUAGGUUGGUCGAGAUCUAGCUUAAGUUUAAAAUAACGUCUGAGCCAGAAGGGUGAACUCUGGCUUGGAUUGAUGAUUGUGAGCAUUCGCAAAGAUAUUGAAUCAAAGACUCAAAAUGACGGCGACAAAGGAUGCUCAUGAAUAUUGCUAGACAUAUGGAAAGUAACCAUAAUGCAAGCAGACAAGUAUUUGCAGAGCAAUAAUUGGCAAUGGAUUAUCGAAAAACCGGAUAGUAUUUCAAAGUAUCUUGUGGAUCACAUGAUCAACUAUGAAUGAAAAAAUCCUCGAUGAGUGUGAGGAAUUAUACGUAGAUGUAUUAAAGUGAAAUGGAGCUGCAGGCAGCAGGCAUAAUGGAUUCUCGAAAUAUUGGAAUGUUUCAGGGUAUCUUGUAAUAACAAGAGCAAUUGGGGAUGAAGGUAUGAACGAAAAAUGCAGGUAGUUAUCCAUAAUGAUUUAUCGGUGGUAGGGAUUGCAACGGCAAAGGCACAAGGGUCUCGGGAAAACAUCAGAGAGUAUCUUCAGAAUCUUCUGGCGUAGCAGGCGAUCAUCUAUAAUAAGGGGCUCUCCGGGAGGAAGUAGUUACGAGAACCUAGAGUCAUAGUUAGUAAAAUCAUUUAACCCGAAUAGAAAAUAUAUCAGAGACCCAGAUUAAAGAUCGAGGAAUAGAAGAUCCUAAUACCACCCAAUGGCAAUGUGGGCCCGUAAGACACACAGCCAUGUUAGUAAAAGUUUGCAAUGACUAGACUCGACUUUGGCCAAGGAGUUUGGAAGGGGGAUUCCUACAGGCAGUCGACUCUGAUACCAACUUGUGACGCCCCCGAUUUGACCGUACACUAAUCAUACACGCAAAUGUGUACGAUCAAGAUCAGGGUCUCACGGGAAGAUAUCACAACACAACUCUACAAAUAAAAUAAGUCAUACAAGCAUCAUAUUACAAGCCAUGGGCCUCGAAGGCUCGAAUACAAGAGCUCGAUCAUAGACGAGUUAGCGGAAGCAACAAUAUCUGAGUACAGACAUAAGUUAAACAAGUUUGCCUUAAGAAGCCUAGCACAAACUGGGAUACAGACCGAAAGAGGCGUAGGCCUCCUGCCUGGGAUCCUCCUAAACUACUCCUGGUCGUCGUCAGCGGGCUGCACAUAGUAGUAGGCACCUCCAGUGUAGUAGUAGUCGUCGUCGACGGUGGUGUCUGACUCCUGGGAUCCAACGUCUGGUCGCAGCAAACGGGUAUAGAAAGGGGGGAAAGAGGGAGCAAAGCAACCGUGAGUACUCAUCCAAAGUACUCGCAAGCAAGGAGCUACACUACAUAUGUAUGCAUUGGUAUCAAAUGGAAAAGGCUAUCAUAUGUGGACUGAACUGCAGAAUGCCAGAAUAAGAGGGGGGUAGCUAGUCCUAUCAAAGACUACACUUCUGGUAACCUCCAUCUUGCAGCAGGAGAAAAGAGUAGAUGGUAAGUUCACCAAGUAUCAUCGCAUAGCAUAAUCCUAACCGAUGAUCCUCCCCUCGUCGCCCUGUGAGAGAGCGAUCAUCGGUUGUAUCUGGCACUUGGAAGGGUGUGUUUUAUUAAGUAUCCGAUUCUAGUUGUCAUAAGGUCAAGGUACAACUCCAAGUCGUCAUGUUACCUAAGAUCACAACUAUUCGAAUAGAUUAACUUCCCUGCAGGGGUGCACCACAUAACCCAACACGCUCGAUCCCAUUUGGCCGGACACACUUUCCUGGGUCAUGCCCGGCCUCGGAAGAUCAACACGUCGCAGCCCUACCUAGGCACAACAGAGAGGUCAGCACGCCGGUCUAAAUCCUAUGGCGCAGGGGUCUAGGCCCGUCACCCAUUGCAUACCUACAUGUUGCGAGGGCGACCAGAAGCAGACCUAGCCUAGAAGGCAUUUCAGUCCAAUCCGGCGUGCACCGCUCAGUCGCUGACGUCACGAAGGCUUCGGCUGAUACCACGACAUCGAGUGCCCAUAACUGUCCCUGCCUAGAUGGUUAGUGCGUAUCGGCCAGUAGCCAGACUCAAAUCAAAUACCAAGAUCUCGUUAAACGUCUUAAGUAUCCGCGAACGCCGACCAGGGCCAGGCCCACCUCUCUCCUAGGUGGUCACAACCUGCCCUGUCGCUCUGCCUCAAAGUAACAGUCGGGGGCCGUCGGGAACUUAGGCCCACCACUACCUGGAUGGAGCCACCUGCCCCUUCAGCCCCCAUCUCCAAACAGUAUCAUAAGUAAUGUAACAUUAUAAGUAUAUAUCAUAUGCCCGUGAUCACCUCCCGAAGUGAUCACGGCCCAGUAGUAUAGCAUGGCAGACGGACAAGAGUGUAGGGCCACUGAUGAUAAUCUAGCAUCCUAUACUAAGAAUUUAGGAUUGCAGGUAAGGUAUCAACAGCUGGAGCAACAAUGACAGGCUAUGCAACAGAAUAGGAUUAAUGGAAAGCAGUAACAUGCUACACUACUCUAAUGCAAGCAGUAUAGAGGAGAGUAGGCGAUAUCUGGUGAUCAAGGGGGGGCUUGCCUGGUUGCUCUGGCAAGAGAGAGGGGUCGUCAACACCGUAGUCAUACUGGGUAGCAGCGGCGUCGGUCUCGGUGUCUAUAGAGAGAAGAGGGGGAAGAAACAAUAAAUAUUAAGCCAACAGAUGCAUUGUGAUGCAUGACAUGACAAUUAUCGGUGCUAGGGGUGCCCUAACGUGGUACGAGGUGGUACCGGUGAAGGGGGAAAACAUCCGGGAAAAUAUCCCCGGUGUUUCGCAUUUUCGGACAGACGAACCGGAGGGGGAAAGUUGCAUGUUCGCUAUUCUAGGGAUGCGUGGCGGACAAACGGGAUGCGUAUCCGGGUUUGUCUCGUUGUUCUGAACAACUUUCAUGUACAAAGUUUUUCCAUCCGAGCUACGGUUUAUUUUAUAUUGAUUUUAAAAGAUUUAAAUCAUUUUUAGGAUUUAUUUAAUUAUUUAAAUUCAACAUUAUCCAGAAUAGCGAUUGCUGACGUCAGCAUGACGUUAACAUGAUGUCAGCAGUCAACGUUGACCGUUGACCUGGUCAACCUAACGUGUGGGUCUAGUGGGACCCGCGUGUCAUUCUCUGCUUAGCCAAAUUAGGGUUUAGGUUAAUUAACUAGGAUUAAUUAGUUGUUUUAGUUUAAUUAAUCAAAAGUAAUUAAGUUAAUUAGUUCUUUAACUAAUCCUCUAAUUAAUUAAUUAAUUUACUUAAUAAUUUUAUUUAUUAUUUAUUUUAUUUUUUUCAUUUAAUUCCUUUUUUUAUAAACCGUUCUGGGGGCGGGGCCCCCCUGCCAGUGGCCCAGAGGGGCCAUAGCGGGUGUGGCUAAUCGGGCGGAGCCGGGCGCACGCGCUCGGGCGUGGGCGCCUGAAGGGAGACCCAAGGCACGGCGAGUGUUCGCCGGAGCGUGUCCAGGGGGCAGAGGUGGGACGGCGAGUGGCAGCAGCCACUGCGGGAACCGCGAGCGGGGCAGGGGCGAAAGCGGACGGGGCAGUGGAGGCGUCCGGAGGCAGCAGCGGGGGAGGCGGCCACGGUGGGCGCGCACGGGGAGGGGCGCGUGCUAGGCUCGGCCACGGUGGGCGCGCGCGGAACGCCGGUCCAGUCGCGGCGCGGGGAGAAGGCCGCGGCCACGGGGUAGCAUCGGGCGGACGGCGGGUGCGGGGAGAGGACGAGAGGCUGAGGGUCUCACUGGGGUUGUAGGGGUUCGGGCAGUGGUGCUCGGGGAGGAGGUCGGAGACGACGUUCCAGCGAGGAGGAGAUCCGGCAAGGACGACGAGGCGACGGCGAUNNNNNNNNNNGGGCGGUGGCCGCUGUGACCGGCGACGGGCAGGGCUGGCGGGGCGGGACACGAGGGUACAGAGGGCGGCGACGCUCGAGGAUCCAGGGGCGCGGGCUCGCACGCCGGGGCACGUGCCAGGGUGCGCGGAGCACCGACCAGCGCGGGCAGGGGAGUGAGCGCGGCGGCUGCGGGUGCGUGCGCACAGGUGCAUGAGCACGAGCACGGGCGCGAGGGGGGGGAGGGGAGUCGGGGCUCACUGCGAGGAGUAGGGACGUGGCAGCGGUGCUUGGGGAGGACAACAACGACGACGUGCGUAGGGGGAGGCAGACCGACGUGGACGACGAGGCGACGGCAAUUCGGGGAAGAUGGUGAGGGGCUCCGGCGGCGCGGUCCUCGUGCGGCGGGGGCGAGGUAGCUCCGGGCGGGGUCCCGCGUCGGCGUGGUCGUGGAUGGGCGGCGGGGCGCCGGUGGGGCGACAGGAGGGGCCCGGCUCCGCGAGGGAGGUGACAGCGACUCCGAGGCGGCGAUGGGGCGAUGGGAUCGGGGGGUUGCCCCGAUCUAGAUCGGGGAAGGGCGAGAGGGAGGAGUGGGACGAGGGGGAGGGAGUGGGUGCGAGUGGGGGGAUCGGGGGGGGAGCAGUGGGGGUUAGGGUUUCGGUCAGUGGACCGAGGGGGGUUAAGUGGUGGGGGGAGGGGGGGCGGCCUGUUCGGCGGCUGGGCCGCCAUCUGGGCCAAGGCCCAGUGUGGCCGGGGGUUGGCCUCCUUUCUUUCUUUUUUUGUUGUGUUUUUUUAAUUCUAUUUCUUUUCUAUUUUCCCUUUUUUAGUUUCAUAAAAUUUAGAAACAACAACUAAUUUAGUGCUAUUAAAUAGGUCACGGCCCCAAAUACUUUGGCACUCUAAAUAAGGUAUUUCACAUUUUCUUUUUAUUCUAAAAGCAUUUUAGAUAAUUGUCUUAUCACUGUUUUAAUUAACUUAGUGCAUUUAAAUAUUUUAUUAAAGAUGAUUUCUUCACCAACAUUUAUUAUGGAUUAUUUGACACAUUAGGAACAAUUUAGUUUUGACUUUUGAAAACUUUAAUUGUUUUGACUUUAAUUCAAAUUUGAAUUUGGAUCGGUUCUGAACUAACGCGAGAUUAUCAACAAUAAUUGAGGUGACGUGGCAUCAUUACCAGAGGGUUACUGUAGCUUGAUUACCCGGGCGUCACACCUCGUGACUCAUAGAUACUUCCAAAUAGUUGCAGGUGCCACUAAUACCAGUGCAGGUGACGCAACUGAGCUCAAGUGCGAGUUCGACGAGGACCUUGGUCAUUACUAUGUUUCGUUUCCUGAUGAUCAGUAGUGGUGCCCAGUUGGGACGGUCGGGGACCUAGCAUUUCGGGUUGUCUUCUUUUAUUUUGGUUCCGUAGUCUGACCUUGAUUGUACUCUGGAUGAUGUAUGUUUAACUUGUUAUUUGUGUGAAGUGGCGAUUGUAAGCCAACUCUUUAU
RNAcentral lists this long non-coding RNA (39635 nucleotides) under Triticum aestivum (bread wheat). Its description in RNAcentral is "long non-coding RNA (TAES_LNC025505)". The record is from RNAcentral. Lineage: Eukaryota; Viridiplantae; Streptophyta; Magnoliopsida; Poales; Poaceae.